AAGUCCUUAGUAUAGUGGUAGUACACUUGACAUGGAGAUAAGAAAUGUGGGUUGGAUUCUCACAGGACACA
Molecule: non-coding RNA, 71 nt
Organism: Puccinia sorghi
Lineage: Eukaryota; Fungi; Basidiomycota; Pucciniomycetes; Pucciniales; Pucciniaceae
Source: the annotation of a GenBank genome assembly